Molecule: ribosomal RNA, 253 nt
Filed under: uncultured bacterium
Lineage: Bacteria
Description: partial 16S ribosomal RNA
Rfam family: Bacterial small subunit ribosomal RNA
Source: RNAcentral
GACAGAGGGUGCAAACGUUGCUCGGAAUUACUGGGCGUAAAGCGCGUGUAGGUGGAUUGGUGUGUCAGAUGUGAAAUCCCUGGGCUCAACCCAGGAACUGCACCUGAAACUACCAGUCUUGAGUGGUGGAGAGGGAAGUGGAAUUCCUGGUGUAGAGGUGAAAUUCGUAGAUAUUCGGAGGAACACCAGUGGCGAAGGCGGCUCACUGGCUCGAUACUGACGCUGAGGUGCGAAAGCGUGGGGAGCAAACAGG